Molecule: small RNA, 289 nt
Filed under: Cytophaga hutchinsonii ATCC 33406
Lineage: Bacteria; Pseudomonadati; Bacteroidota; Cytophagia; Cytophagales; Cytophagaceae
Description: 5' ureB small RNA
Rfam family: 5' ureB small RNA
Source: Rfam by way of RNAcentral
CGUUCAUCUGCUGCGGACAGAUGUAAUGGAUGUGAUUAUCAAUCCCGCCUGCAGUAAUGAUCAUACCUUCCCCUGCAAUUACUUCCGUAACCGUUCCUGCAAUCAUAUCCGGGUGCACACCCGGCAUGAUAUGUGGAUUGCCGCUUUUACCGAUUGCCUUAAUGUGUCCGUUCUUAAUACCGAUGUCAGCUUUAUAAAUACCUGUAUAAUCAAUGAUCAAUGCAUUGGUAAUAAGUAAGUCUAAUACAUCAUCCGAUUUAUAGCCGGAAGCCUGUCCCAUGCCGUCGCG